This 253-nucleotide ribosomal RNA is filed under the name uncultured bacterium. RNAcentral describes it as "partial 16S ribosomal RNA". It matches the Rfam family "Bacterial small subunit ribosomal RNA", at positions 524 to 776 of the family's 1533-position model. The record is from RNAcentral.
UACGUAGGGGGCAAGCGUUGUUCGGAAUUACUGGGCGUAAAGCGCACGUAGGCGGCUUUGUAAGUUAGAGGUGAAAGCCCGGGGCUCAACUCCGGAAUUGCCUUUAAAACUGCAUCGCUAGAAUUGUGGAGAGGUAAGUGGAAUUCCGAGUGUAGAGGUGAAAUUCGUAGAUAUUCGGAAGAACACCAGUGGCGAAGGCGACUUACUGGACACAUAUUGACGCUGAGGUGCGAAAGCGUGGGGAGCAAACAGG